UGUACAAGAAAACAAAACAUGAAGAUCAAAAAAAUCUCCAGUAGUGCGAUAGCAGUGUGACGUGAAAAAUAUCGUGUCUUGUCGUGACAGUCACUCAUAAUGUGAAUGUGCCUAAAUGUGUAAAUGUUAAUGGUAUUGAUUAAUUAAAAAAGGAAUCACGAUUACUUGUGUGUACUGUGCCACCCUAUCAGCGCCAUUCGCACCAAUUUCCAUGUCGCUAGUGGUUUUAGGGCUAAAAUGCCGGGACAAAAACGAAAAUGACUUUCCGGUGCUGCCUUCCGGCAACAAAGAGAGAAAUGGCAAAAAGAGUUAGAAGGACUAUCGCUACUUCAAAUAAGUAUAUUAAAAAAGUUGAUGAUCAAGGAGAAAGCUCUUUUGAAUUUUUAUACCAUAUUGGAAAUAUUAAAAAUCAGUUUUCCAAAGAAGAUCUCAUGAAGCACUGCCAAGACCUACAUUUAGUGCUCAGUACUGAUAACACUGCUGACGUUGAUGGAGUAGAAUUGUAUGAUGAAUUAAUAGCUUUAUCUGAGCUAAUAAGUCCUAAAACUUCUCCUCUAAAAGUAUUAGAAUUUAUAGCAGGAAAUGAUUUUUUCACUCCAAAAACUGCUAUCGCAUUACUCAUUCUUUUAAUAUUACUGGUAUCAGUGGCUUCUGGUGAGCGCAGUUUCUCAAAACUGAAAUUACUAAAAAAUUAUUUGAGGUCCACCAUGUCUCAAAAUCUUUUGUCAGGACUCGCAUUAAUUUCAGUUGAAAGUACCAUUGCAAAAUAUUUAGAUUUCACUGAAUUAUUAAAAGACUACACAAGUAUAAAAACCAGAAAAAUUCAGUUCAUAUAAAUUCUUUUAAUUUAUGAGAAACUGGGUGCACCGAAAGACAAACAUUUUUCAUUACAAUGUCUAGUUGAACCAAAAUUGUUUGUAAUUAUGAUUUUGUUAAAAUUAAAUGAGUACACUAG
This is a long non-coding RNA of Dermochelys coriacea (leatherback sea turtle), 955 nucleotides long. RefSeq lists it as uncharacterized. The record is from RefSeq and is a predicted model, not a curated record. The transcript has 2 exons. NCBI's taxonomy places the organism in Eukaryota, Metazoa, Chordata, Testudines, Dermochelyidae.